This 495-nucleotide ribosomal RNA is filed under the name uncultured bacterium. Its description in RNAcentral is "partial 16S ribosomal RNA". It matches the Rfam family "Bacterial small subunit ribosomal RNA", at positions 28 to 507 of the family's 1533-position model. The record is from RNAcentral.
GACGAACGCUGGCGGCGUGCCUAAUACAUGCAAGUAGAACGCUGAAGGAGGAGCUUGCUCUUCUGGAUGAGUUGCGAACGGGUGAGUAACGCGUAGGUAACCUGCCUGGUAGCGGGGGAUAACUAUUGGAAACGAUAGCUAAUACCGCAUAAGAGUAGAUGUUGCAUGACAUUUGCUUAAAAGGUGCAAUUGCAUCACUACCAGAUGGACCUGCGUUGUAUUAGCUAGUUGGUGGGGUAACGGCUCACCAAGGCGACGAUACAUAGCCGACCUGAGAGGGUGAUCGGCCACACUGGGACUGAGACACGGCCCAGACUCCUACGGGAGGCAGCAGUAGGGAAUCUUCGGCGAUGGACGGAAGUCUGACCGAGCAACGCCGCGUGAGUGAAGAAGGGUUUCGGAUCGUAAAGCUCUGUUGUAAGAGAAGAACGAGUGUGAGAGUGGAAAGUUCACACUGUGACGGUAUCUUACCAGAAAGGGACGGCUAACUACGUG